Molecule: long non-coding RNA, 7140 nt
Filed under: Homo sapiens (human)
Lineage: Eukaryota; Metazoa; Chordata; Mammalia; Primates; Hominidae
Description: non-protein coding lnc-TTLL10-3:9
Rfam family: mir-8/mir-141/mir-200 microRNA precursor family (bases 4409-4477)
Source: RNAcentral
CUUCCCUCCCGAGGCCCCCACCUCGCCACCGCCUCCCAUUGUCCCGUCGCCCUCGAAACUCUCCCAGAGACGGGCGAGUUGUCCACCUGUGCAGGUCUGAACUGACUUCCUGUGCCAGGGCCUCGCCUGAGCGGGGGCAGGAAGCUCACCCUUGCAGGUCUCCCCGCGCCAACGGACGCCCUGAGGCCUGACCCUGGCUGAGGCAGAGCACCCAGCUCCGUGGACCGGGACGGACGGGCUCAGGUGCCCCCCAUUCCUUCCGAAGCCGGUUCACACCCACCCGGGCCUGGCACAGGGGAGGCGCUGGCUGCAGGGUCGGGGCGGGAGCAGCCUCAACCCGGCUCCUGGGCCGCGGCCGCAGCAGUGGAACCUGUCGGGGCAGCAGGCCUUCUAGAAAGUUCUCUCCAGAAGCAGCCACCGCCGUCCUGAGGCACUUUGUGCGGAGACGGGAAGCUGUCGCCUCAGAGGUGGGUGCGUAGAAGGGUUUGGCCGGGUGCGAGGAUGACCGCGUCUCCCUUGGGCUCUGGAGUCUGCGGUGGGAAGGGCUUGGUUUCAGCACCCUCUGGUCAGAGGCCGGCCGAGCCCAUGGGCGGUGAGGUUGGUGCCUGGGGUCGUGGCUGGUCUGGUACAGGUGGGGCUCAGCCCGGAGAAGCUGGAGCCGGUUCCCAGGCCCCGCGCUAUGACUGGGGUGGGGGCAACGUCUCUCGUGAGGUUUUUUACUUAAAUGUGAAACGGCUCAGUACGGUGGCCGCAGCCGGGAACAAGGUCCGACCCACCGAGGCCCAGCCUUGAACUUGCCGCGGGGGCACCUGAACACGGUUUUACAGCCCGGAUCACUGGCUUUCUUGAAGUUUGGGAACUGAUUGAUCAUGGUGGCGGGAGGUAAGGUUCAUUGUUCUUGAUGAACAAAAUUCUUAGGGCGUGAAGAGCCGAUGCUUUAAUUAACCCCCCGGGAGCGUCUCAGGCCUCCCCCCGGGAGCGUCUCAGGCCCCGUUUACGCUGAGUGUCUGGGGAAAGACGUGGUUUGGUUUUGUUUUUCUAGUAACCCAGAUGAAAUGUUUAAAAGCAUGGUUGGCAGCACAUUGAAUUUGGCAAAAUUAAGGUUUGCAUUUGUGAAAAUGCGGAUGCAGUUUGCGGUUCUUUUCAGACAUUUUGGUAAUUUGCAAAUACUUAUUUGCGAAACGAGUUUGUCAGAACAUUUUUUAGUAUCUAGAGGAAGAUGAGAUGGGCCGAGGAGGUCGCGCACCCCUGGAUCCCUGGAGGAGCUGGUGUGUUCUCUGUGGGGCGGGUGGACGUGGCCCGGACACACGGGCCGUGCUCACAGCCGGCCUGCGAGGGCUGCAAAUCCACGCCCGCCGUGUGGGUGAAAUGGCGGCUUUGCCUCCCAGACGCGUAGCUCCGGCGACGCAGAGGGAAGAACCUGAGUGCCCGCCAGGCCGAGCUCCGCACCCCACCCCCCGGCAGCCUCUGACUCCCGGCUCGGCUCCCGCGGUCGGGGAGGGUUGGAUUUCACACUUUGUUCUCGAGGCCGCACCAUUGAUUAAGCCCGUCGGGCAGGUUAACCAACAAGUUAGGUUUUCACGCCGGGAUCACAUUCCUCGCCGGGCGCUCCCACCCCACCCCAGCCUGUGCAGGUGGGACCCGGCCAGGCAGGCGGGCAGGGCGGCCAGGUGCGCCGAGGGGCGCCUCCACGGGGAGUGUGCUCCGCAGAGAACCCCUUGCUGGGGCGGCUCUGGGCCUCCUGACUCACUCCUGGAUUUUCCCAAGCUGAGUCUGGCCCCGCGGUGAUGAUUAACCCAACACCUCAACCGGCACCGCCACGCUAGCUCCACUUCCCGGCGACGGUUGACAAGAAAGCGCCGCGUGGGGCUCUCGGAAAACAGGGAAGCUUCUGCACUCAGGAGGCGCCUGGGAAUCCUGCCCUGGAACUUAGGAAGGAGGCUUCUCCCACCUGCCUGCCACACGGGUCUGUCCCUGGGUCCCAGCCUCUGCCGUGUGCCCCUCAGCCUCCCGGGUGAGAACGCAAUGACUGAUGAGCCUGGGGUGGCCAGGCCAGCUCUGGCCCUGUGGGGUUCCUGAGAAGGCUGGCCCUGGGUGGCCAAGGGCCUGGGGACACUGGCCCCGGGCCCUGAACCUGGCAGUGGGAGGCCGGCCCGUCCGCCGGGUGGGCUGGGAACUGUGUUUGGCCCCAGCUGCAAGGGACGAGUGCCGGGCACCUGCUGCCCUCCCCACGUGACCUGGCAGCCAGGAAUGGAGCUGAAAUUCAACUCUGCUCUGAACGGGAAGUCUUAGUUUCCUUUAGCUCAGAAAACAGGUGAAAUUGUGUUCCUGAAGCACUGAUUUGAUGGGAUUUGAUGGCAUUGGUGGCGAAGGCCUGUGAGGUGAUGGAAAGGGAAAGCCGGGUGCCCUGGAGCCUGACAGGCUGGGGCCAGGGCAGGGGACCUGGUGUGGGGUCUCCGGAGAGGGUCCAGGCGUGAGGGAAGCUGGGUCAGGACCUCGGAGACGUGGCCUUUGGAGGAGGAGACUGGAACCGGGUGGACCCGGCAGCAGGCGGGGGCGGGCGGACACGACCUUUGUUGUGGUCGGCGGGCAGACAGGGGAAUCGGCACAGGGCCUGCGCCCCACCUACAGCCUCUGUGGGUGGAAGGUGCCAGAAAACUUGAAGAGUGGCUCUGGCCAGCUCUCUGGGCCCAGUUGGCACCAGGUGGUUGCAGAGAAAGGGUGGGAAGGAGGACAGGAAGGACGGCGUGUCCAGCGGGCGGGGAGCCUUGGUCUGGCCUGAGGGCUGAACCUCCCUCGGGUCCUGAGUGUGCCUGGAGUAGAAGCCUAGGGUCUCUGGGCUCCAGGCAGGGCCCUGAGCAAGGAGGGGCCACAGGGCUGCCCACUUCCUCCUGCCCCCCUGCAGAGGCGGCUCAGCCCUCGCGGCGUCUGAGGCUUGACUGCCUGUGUCUGUGUUUGUGGCCGGUCUGCCUCUGUGCCUGGGUCAGACCCCAGACCAGCAGACACACAAACCGCAGGGACGGCUGGGCAGGGUCAGGAGCCUGCCCCGCCCGCACCCCCACCCACACCCCCACCCCCACCCCCGCCUGCACCCCCUGCCCUCAGACGCUGUGCAGUGAGCGGGGCAGCAUGGGAGAGGGGUCUCCAGGUGGCGGGGACCGUUCUGUCUCGAGAGCCUCGCAGACACCGGGCCUUUGAGAAGAGAAGGGGCUGGGCAGGGAAGCAGCUCCUGGAACACCAUCCUGGAGACAGAGGCCCUUGUCCCCUGCCUCAGACAAGGCAGCACGUGGGGCCCGGGGGGCUGGGGCUGCUGUCCAGGCCUUCCUAUGGGACCACCCAGAGGGAAGGUCCCCCGCAGAGGGGUGGGGGCAGAGGGCCGAGCGGGGCGGGCAGAGGGCCCGUGUCAGCCCCACUCCGACCUAGUCCUCGGCCGUCUGGCCAGGACACUUCGGCCCCCCAGGUGCCCACCCCAGGACCCAAAGCUGGUGGCUGCUGGACUCGGCAGGGCUGGCGGGUGGGGCUCACCCGGGCCCCUGCCCUCCGGCGAUGCUGUCCUCAGUGCCCCAGGAGGACGAGGCCCCCCAGCUACUGAGCUUCCCAGCGAGUCCCAUGCAACCCUCAGCCGGGCGGCCCCCGGACCCAGCUCGGGCAGCCGUGGCCAUCUUACUGGGCAGCAUUGGAUGGAGUCAGGUCUCUAAUACUGCCUGGUAAUGAUGACGGCGGAGCCCUGCACGCAGCGACCGGCCGACCCCGUCCCGGCCCCCAGGGCCUCCCGCCGAGCCCCACACUCCCCUCCCACACAGCCCGCUCACCGGACCCCACCCCGUCCGGGCCAGAUGGCUCUGGGGAGAGUGACGGGGGGACGUGACCUUCGGAAGGGGGCUGGGGCGCCCCCCACCAGCAUCUCAGAGACCCCGGAAUGCAAGGCCUCCUGCAGCUGCACCCAGGGCGCCCCACAGUGAUCUGGGGAUUAGGACGCUCAGGUGUCCGGGCCCUGCCCACAGCGCCUGGGCGGGAGCUGCUGUCACACCCAGCAGGUGCGGGCCGAGCAGGACCCAACAGAGGGCUCAGGAGGGCAAGGCCCAACCGGGAGCCACGUGGAACCCAGAGGAAGCCGCCCCACCCAGCUUGGCCACAGCCAUCUUCCCUCCUGCCGGACAGGGUGGGCCGGCCACCGAGCAGACCAGUGCCCCCGCCUUGGUCCCGGGUCAGCAGCCCCAGGGUCCCCUUGCCCUGGAGGAAGCAGGGAGGGUGGGCCUGUGUGCAGUCUCAGGGCCCCCAAGCCCCUCUCCGCCAGCCCUGUCCGGUCCCGGCACCACCCCUGGCUGCUCACCGCUCCGGUUCUUCCCUGGGCUUCCACAGCAGCCCCUGCCUGCCUGGCGGGACCCCACGUCCCUCCCGGGCCCCUGUGAGCAUCUUACCGGACAGUGCUGGAUUUCCCAGCUUGACUCUAACACUGUCUGGUAACGAUGUUCAAAGGUGACCCGCCGCUCGCCGGGGACACCACCGAGGCACAUCCGGAGCUCCUACUCCAGGGAUGGGCUGGGGCGGAGGGCCGAGCGGGGCCAGCAGACGGGUGAGGGCGGAGGGCCGAGCGGGGCCAGCAGACGGGUGAGGGCGGAGGGCCGAGCGGGGCCAGCAGACGGGUGAGGGCGGAGGGCUGAGCGGGCGGCAGAGGGCCUGUGUCAGCUCCGAAGUCCAGCCCCCAGGGGAGGGGCCGGCCUCUGCCGGGGGUGCCCCCGGGGUCACUCACGCCCAGGCUGGGUCUGACACCUUGAGGACCCCUUGGUGCCUCCACAGGUGGCCUGGAGGGCAUCCUGCUCCCCCUCCCGGAGCCGCUGUGCCUCCCCCACCCAACCUCCCAGGCUGGGUUUUAGGGUGACCUGGCUCCAGGAAAGGCCAUAGGGCUGGGAUGCCAGGGCUGGAGAGGGAAGAGCAACAGUGGCCUCUCUCACGUGGUCCGGGCUCCGUGGAGGGUCUGCUGGGGGCGCAGGAAGGACAAGGUGGGUUCAGAUUCCCGAGCCCCACCAUGCAGGGGAGCGGGGACGCUCUGCGCUUGCCCUCUGAGGGACAAGGGGUCUCAUUCCUUCCCCCAGUCAACAAGAACAGGAACUUUGUCCAAAACCCACCAGGCCAGGAUGACCCAUUGUUUCAUCUUUUCCAUCUGCAACCAGGGCGCCUGGGACCGCACCCCCACACAAGGCCCCAGCCUGGGGAGGGGGCAGCCACCGGGGAGAGGCUGCCCUUCACUGUUACUCAUUAACCCGACCGAGCUUCAGGAAGCCAGCGAGGGGCUGCAGGGAACCUUUGCCAAGAGCAGGGCCUGGGUGACCAGGUGGCUCCCGGGUACCCCCACACAGCCAGGCUGGGCUGGGACCAGGUGCUGGGAUGGGGGCUGUCAGGGAAGUGCCUCGGGGGCUCGUUCUGCAGACCCAGGAGGGAUCAGGGCAGCUGCAGGAGGUGGCAGGAGCCGCCCCCGGGGCCUUCCCUUCACAGGCCCCGCAGACACCAGCCCAGGACCCGGAGGCCACCCACACCACCGCCGGCCGAUGGGCGUCUUACCAGACAUGGUUAGACCUGGCCCUCUGUCUAAUACUGUCUGGUAAAACCGUCCAUCCGCUGCCUGAUCACCGUUAGAGGAGAGAGCUGCCUGCCCUGCAGCUCAUCAGUGCAAAGCCGCCCGGUCUGGGGCUCUCAUGCCCCCCUCACUAUGGCCUGUGCCCAUCCGCAGCCCAUCAGUGCAAAGCCGCCGGGGUCUGGGGCUCUUGUGCCCCACCCUCGCCAUGGCCUGUGCCCACCCGGCCUCCUGGGGCCCUCGAGCUGUAGUCCCCGGGCAGAUGCUGUGGACCCCGUGCUAUCAGCCUGGCCCCUGGGGUCACAGUCACAGAUACCCGGAGCCCCACCCCACAGCCCCAGCCCCCUCGCCACCUGGGGAGGCUGAGACAGAAGCAGCUGGGCCCCCCAAAGUGCCUGAGCCCAGGGCACGGAGGAGCACAAAUGCCCAGCAGGGACAAUGUCACAGCGUCUCAGCGGCCAGGCAGCAGGACGCAGAGACCUCUGGGAGGUUCCCGGGGCCAGCCCUGGCCCUCCUCCUCCAGGGGCCAGCCGUGGGAUGCAGACCACACUCUCCCUCCAGGGCCCAUCUCUGGGGCUGAGGCGGGCGGGGCCGGUGCCCAGCUGCAAGACCAUGGGAUAGGGAAGGCAGGUGCUUGGGGCCACGCAGCCCUGCACUGGGGGCCCCUCCACCCCAGGCGGCUCACGAGGUGUCAUCUGGAGCUGUCCCCAAGCCGGGAUCUGCAGGUUGACCUCCCCCACCCGGGGCUAUCUCCAGACCCUCUUUCCUCCCUGGGGAGAUGGGGCAGUCCCCCGCAGGGCCAGCUGAAACCACCCCCAUGCUGCUGCCGCCUGAGCGACGUGUGUGGGGAAGAACUUGGAGUGCCACCCCCAGAAUGUGGCGUCCACCUCACCAGACCGCACGGGUGAGCCCUGGACUGCAAGGUGCAUAUAACACAAGGUUUGGACACACCUGGAGAGCUCGGGCCAGGCAGGGCCACACCUGUGAGCCUGAGCUCAUCCAACACCGCCCGGAGCUCGGGGACCUUCCCCAUCCCAGCACCUCCUCACCGCUGUGCCCGUCUGGCCAGUCCCUCCAAGCACCCCUCGGAUGAAGUUGCGCCCCACACUGCAGUGGGGCUCACUCUCCACAGCGCCUGCUGCGUUGCACGGGGUGUGACAGGAAGGACCCUGCUGGGGCUGGCGGGGCCGUACCCAGAGCCUCCCUGUGCGGUUUCUCCUCCUCCUCCUCCUCUCCAUAAGCACCGGGAACAAAACAGAAAAAAGUCUUUGUAUAGUAAUAAAGUCUGCAGUUCACGCACCCAUGCUUGGACCAGCUCCUUAUUUUAACCACACGUGCACAGACCCCCGCCGUGCAAAGGGCCCAGCUGAGGACAGAACCCCAGACACUGCAUCCGGCCCCGGAGGCCCCCAAGGUUCCUGGGAGAGGCUCCCUCCCUCCCUUCCCUCCUCUUUCCCUCCCCCUCCUCCUUCCUCUCCUCCAUCCCUCCUUCCCCCUCCUCCCUCCUCCUCCUCUCUCCGUCCCUCCCUCCCUCCUUCUUUUGCUCAGGAAUCUUCCCUGACUCU